Long non-coding RNA from Equus caballus (horse), 845 nucleotides. The record is from Ensembl. NCBI's taxonomy places the organism in Eukaryota, Metazoa, Chordata, Mammalia, Perissodactyla, Equidae.
AAGUUACUUCCUGCUGAGGUAAUCAACAGCAAUUACCAUGAGGAAUUCUGGUUGCUACGACACAGUAAGACAGAAAGGAUUAUUUAUAGAACCCAGAAGAUUCAGUAGGGCAUCUCUUAAUACUUACAUUGCUUAGUGAUAACUAUUCAUGGGCAGUUACAGUAACUACUACAGACCACAAAGACAAAGCAACCGUGUGCUCAGACUACUUAGGGAGGAAGGUCUGGAAUUCCUACCAGACUAGCAAACAAGACCAGUCAAUGUGCUUGCCUAGAGAGAAGAAACUAAAAUGGAACAAAAUGAAGGCAUUUGGGUCCUAUAAAACUGAAGGCCCACUACUACAGCAUGAGAGCCGGAUCCCAGAGGAUGGUCUGAGCAGAGUAUCAGACACAGUGUACGCAUCUCCCCAGAGCUGUCCAGCCUCCUCUGCCCCCCGGGCCACGACCACUUCACCUUCUCGCACUGUUAGCUGUCUUGACCUCCCUCUUGGUGAAGCCCAGACUCUGCUAGAAGCAACAGCAGCUCAAGUGCCCAGAUAUAACCCAACCAGAUCCACAGAGCUCUAGCUUCUCCAGAGCUGCCCUCAGAAACCAGGUGACAAACCUAGAACUGCAAGGGAAUUAAUGCCCCUUGGGGCCAACAUUGAGAGGUCAGAGCACUUGAUUGCCGUUGCAAAACUCACCAGUGCUCUCUUUUCCCUCUGGAAUGGGGAUUGGCGACAUUCAAGAUGGUGACUGUCACAUCAGCCUGAGUCCUCAAGUAAGAAAAUGUGCAGCAAAGCACUCAGCUGACCUGCAAUGGACGUAUGAUAUGAGCAAGAAAUAAACCUUUGUUGUUUUAAGCCA